RNAcentral lists this ribosomal RNA (359 nucleotides) under uncultured bacterium. RNAcentral's name for it is "bacterial SSU rRNA". It matches the Rfam family "Bacterial small subunit ribosomal RNA", at positions 29 to 412 of the family's 1533-position model. The record is from RNAcentral.
AGCGAACGCUGGCGGCAGGCCUAACACAUGCAAGUCGAGCGGCCGUAGCAAUACGGCAGCGGCAGACGGGAGAGUAACACGUGGGAACGUGCCCUUUGGUUCGGAAUAACGCAGGGAAACUUGCGCUAAUACCGAAUAAGCCCUUACGGGAAAGAUUAUCGCCAUUGGAGCGGCCCGCGUCUGAUUAGCUAGUUGGUGGGGUAACGGCGUCACCAAGGACGACGAUCAGUAGCNGGUCUGAGAGGAUGAUCAGCCUCACUGGGACUGAGACACGGCCCAGACUCCUACGGGAGGCAGCAGUGGGGAAGUAUUGGACAAUGGGCGCAAGCCUGAUCCAGCCAUGCCGCGUGGAUGAUGAA